Molecule: long non-coding RNA, 677 nt
Organism: Cyprinus carpio carpio
Lineage: Eukaryota; Metazoa; Chordata; Actinopteri; Cypriniformes; Cyprinidae
Source: Ensembl
UUUAUGCUCACAAAGCCUGCAUUUAUUUGAUUAUAAAAAAUACAGUAAAAACUGUAAAAUUGUGAUAUAUUAUUACAAAUUAAAAUUACUGGUUUCUAUUUAACUAUAUUUUAAAAUGUAAUUUAUUUCUGUGAUCAAAGCUGUAUUUUCAGCAUCAUUACUCCAGUCUUCAGUGUCACAUGAUCUUCAGAAAUCAUUCUAAUAUGAUGAUUUGCUGCUCAAGAAACAUUGAUUAUUAUCAAUGUUGAAAACAGUUGUGCUGCCGAAUAUUAUGGAACCUGUGAUAUACUUCUUUGGUUUAACAAAUAAUAUUUAUUUCAAUUAAAUAUUGUUGCUCUGAACUUUCUAUUCAUGAAAGAAUCCUAAAAAAUAAAACUGAUCACAUUUCCCACUAAAAUAUGAUGAGGCACAACUGUGUUCAACAUUGCUAAUAAUCAAUGUUUCUUGAGCAGCAAAUCAUCAUCGACAUCUAAGGAUAUUUCACAUUAGAUUAGCAAGCAAUGACCCUAAUGAAAUGUCUUCUAACAUAAACACCCACACAUCCUCUCAAACGUGGGCUCACUUGCUGAGUUUCACACUGCAGGACUCUCACACUCUGCAGUAAAACAACCGCUUAAGAGAAGGCCUUGUUCCAGUUGCACUUCUUUUGUCAUGCUAAAGGUAACCUUUUAAAGUGC